RNAcentral lists this ribosomal RNA (292 nucleotides) under uncultured bacterium. Its description in RNAcentral is "partial 16S ribosomal RNA". It matches the Rfam family "Bacterial small subunit ribosomal RNA", at positions 505 to 796 of the family's 1533-position model. The record is from RNAcentral.
GUGCCAGCAGCCGCGGUAAUACGAAGGUGGCAAGCGUUGUUCGGAUUUACUGGGCGUAAAGGGAGCGUAGGCGGUUCGGUAAGCCCUCCGGGAAAUCUUCCGGCUUAACCGGGAAAGGUCGGAGGGGACUGCCUUGCUAGAGGACGGGAGAGGAGCGCGGAAUUCCCGGUGUAGCGGUGAAAUGCGUAGAGAUCGGGAGGAAGGCCGGUGGCGAAGGCGGCGCUCUGGAACGUUCCUGACGCUGAGGCUCGAAAGCGUGGGGAGCAAACAGGAUUAGAAACCCUCGUAGUCC